This is an RNA transcript of Aphis gossypii (cotton aphid), 1513 nucleotides long. It is a transcript of the gene named PRKCA-binding protein-like, with no coding region annotated. The record is from RefSeq and is a predicted model, not a curated record. The transcript is spliced from 9 exons. Lineage: Eukaryota; Metazoa; Arthropoda; Insecta; Hemiptera; Aphididae.
UUAAAUAUUAUUAAAACAUAAAAAUAAAGUUAUUAAGUUCUACUUUUGAAUUUUUUUUUCACAAUGUAUGAGUGUGACUUUAUGUUGACAGUGGAUUCUAUUCAAGAUCAAUAUGAUAAUUUUUCUAUUGAAGAUAAAUUGGGUAUGAAAGUAACAUCUGGGGUUGUAAAAAUUAAUAAGGACCCGAAAACCAAUCGUAUAGGUAUUACAAUAGGUGGAGGACCUCCUUACUGCCCUUGUAUAUACAUUACACAGAUUUUGGAAUAUUCACCAACUGCAUUAAAUGGCGCAUUAGAAAGUGGUGAUGAGCUUUUAGCUAUUAAUGAUGAACGUAUUAGCGGACGUGACAAAAUGCAAGUAGCACAAAUGAUACAAUCAAGUGGUGAUCAAGUAACUUUGAAAUAUAACAAAUUAGAAGCUGAUAUCGAACAAGGAAAAACUAUGGAUAUUUUAGUAAAAAAAAUUAAACAUAGGAUAGUUGAAGGAAUAUCUGCCACUACUGCUGAUUAUUUGGGUAUAUCUCGUGCAAUGCUUGUCAAUGACAGUCUUGUUAAACGCUUACAAGAGCUAGAUAACUUAGAACAAACAUAUCGGUGCUUGGUUGAUCACACAGAAUGUGUACUUGGCGCGUUUUAUGCUCUAACCGAAUGUUAUAAAGAAUUUGGGGACUCGUUUUCAGAAAUAGGUGCUAGGGAACCACAACCUAGAGCUAGUAUGUCUUUAAUGCGCUUUGGUGAGUAUCACAGGCGAAUGGAACGUCAAGGACAAACUCUAAUCAAUGUUUUAAAACUAGCAUCCAAGUCAUUUAGCACAUACCUGAAAAUAGCUAUUCCAGAUACCAAGCAAACAAUACGGAAAUAUGCUGAUGUGAAAUUUGAAUAUUUAUCUUACUGUUUAAAAAUAAAAGAGCUUGAUGAUGAAGAGACUUCUUUAGAUUAUCCUAUACGUCGAAUUUUAACAGGAAAUUAUGAAUACAGGCUGCUAUUGAGAUGCCAACAGUCAGCAAGAAAACGAUUUAUUGCUAUUAGAGAAGACGUAUUAACCAAAAUUGAACUAUUGGAAAGUAAACACGUGCAUGAUAUUGUAGAUCAAUUCCAAUUAAUUGCUUCACAAAUUGUUAAUUUUAAUAAUGAAAUAAGUUGGAUGAUACUUGGAGGGGAUAACGAUACUAAUGAACCACCGCUCUUUCCUAUUGAAAUGGAUUUGAAAUGUACUGCAUUUGAAUAUGAUUCAGUACAGCCAGAAGUUAACUUAGACGACCUUAAUAAUUAAAUUUCAAAUAAUCUAGGAGUAAACAGAAAUUUUCCAAAAAAAAAAAAAACAAAAAAAUUACAACAGAACACUAUUAUUACUACAGAAAUUACUACAAUUUAAUCCUUGGAGACAGAUUAACCAAAUAAUGUUAACCAACGUCCAUUAACAGAAUCUUCCCCUCUGCUUUUAAGACUUAUAAGUUAUAAUUUUAUUUUUUAAGUUAGUUGAAAAUUAUACUUUUUUCUAUUAUUGAUUCAUA